Molecule: ribosomal RNA, 253 nt
Filed under: uncultured bacterium
Lineage: Bacteria
Description: partial 16S ribosomal RNA
Rfam family: Bacterial small subunit ribosomal RNA
Source: RNAcentral
UACAUGUGGGGUAAGCGUUGUUCGGAAUUACUGGGCAUAAAGGGUGCGUAGGCGGCUUGUUAAGUCAGGGGUGAAAGUUUUCGGCCCAACCGGAAAAUGGCCUCUGAUACUGGCGAGCUCGAGUGCGUGAGGGGUGACUGGAACGAGCAGUGUAGCGGUGAAAGGCGUAGAUAUUGCUCGGAAGGCCAACGGCGAAGGCAGGUCACUGGUACGCAACUGACGCUGAGGCACGAAAGCGUGGGGAGCAAACAGG